This 118-nucleotide small nuclear RNA is filed under the name Ancylostoma ceylanicum. RNAcentral's name for it is "U5 spliceosomal RNA". It matches the Rfam family "U5 spliceosomal RNA". From Rfam's summary of the family: U5 RNA is a component of both types of known spliceosome. The precise function of this molecule is unknown, though it is known that the 5' loop is required for splice site selection and p220 binding, and that both the 3' stem-loop and the Sm site are important for Sm protein binding and cap methylation. The record is from RNAcentral. Lineage: Eukaryota; Metazoa; Nematoda; Chromadorea; Rhabditida; Ancylostomatidae.
AUCUCUGGCUCCUUUGCAUUUAAUCGAGAAAAUCUUUCGCCUUUUACUAAAGAUUUCCGUGUAAAUGAGCAUAUUAUGAGUUUCCAACAAUUUUUGGAAUCCUCUCGAAAGAGCGGGA